Molecule: non-coding RNA, 777 nt
Organism: Castor canadensis (American beaver)
Lineage: Eukaryota; Metazoa; Chordata; Mammalia; Rodentia; Castoridae
Source: RefSeq, a predicted model, not a curated record
AGGCUUAUUUUAAUAGUGGUGUUUAUGAGCAAUGUCAGAGGAAACGGAAGGUGAUAUAAAAGCACUGGCGCCCCAGACUCCGCCUUACCUUCUAGAUGGCAUCCUCGUCAUCACGAGUGCUGGAGUGUGGAGACCUGAUUGAGACUGUCCACAUUGGCUGUCUGGAUUGGGCCAUCUACAUGGGACAGAUAACAUGAUCCAACUGACUGCUUCAAGUACAUUCCUCAGUAUUGGUUCCUCCAACUUGUUCAUGUUGCUAAGCAGCCAGACUGUGGUGACAACGGAUCCUCUGCUACUUCUAUAGUGUCAAUAACCUGUAGGGCCGUAAGUACAGACCUCAGUGUGUGGAUGUAAUUGUCAACUCCUUGUCUUCAGAGCUCCUUCACCCGUUUUGUCAAGAAGUUCUGCAGUCUGAGUUCAUUAGCAGAUCUGGAAAGUUGUUGUCUUCCAUCCAGCCUCGGGGCCACUGCAAUCAGGCAGCAGGAUGUGUCUCCCAGGGAAAGGGCCAGGACCCCCUUCCCAGAUGGAAUGUAAAAUCCCAGACAGAGCCCCCAAAUUGUUGGAAUUGAUAACCCUCCAAUGCCGGAAACAGACACACAAGAGACAGAAAAUCUUGACAAGGCAAUUUCUCUUGAUCAAGAGGGUGCAAGCAUGUGCUUACUCCCGCUAAGCAACACACAAGCACAAGAUGGCUGACAGUGGCUCCUCCUUAUGUCCUGGACGCGGUCGUACCUGCCCCUCACCUGGGAUUUGUCCAGGUCAAAGGUUCACAGUCUU